GAACACCCCCAGGACAAAGAUGUAGAUGAGCGGGAUGAAGAACGUCAAGUGCGUGUAGAACUUCUGCUCCUUCAUGAACAAGUCGGCCCGAUCGCAGAGGCUCUCCACGUCGGGCGGCACGGGGCGGUGGUGGCGUUUGUUGCCGAGGACGCAAAAGCCCAGGAGGAUGAGGGCGGAGGCCACGAAACAGCAUGCGGCGAGUUUCUGAAGGAGGUUGGGCGACGCCACCGUCUGGGCAGCAGGAGCCGUCGAUGGGUCUCUGGAGCUGUUGCACACGGCGUUCAUCAGCACCAUGGCUCCCUAAACAACUGCAGAUGACUUUUGGCCAUAUAUCCAGAACAUACCGUUGCAGCACCCGAGGAUGACAACAUCAGGCGUUGCGGAGCCUUCCUGCAAGACACCCACCGCAUUGCAAGCAUUACUGUGGCUGACUUAACGUUCCACAAGGGUUAGAACAUUCCUCACUUACCACGUGUCCAUGAUAAUCAGACGCUCCUUCAUGGAGUUAUUCGCUUCUGGAUACCACAGGAAGUCCUGCACACACACAAAGAGAGGUGGAUGUUUAGCACUUCCUGUCACAUGUUGGCACAGCUCAUCUACAAUAAAUAGAAUCUACAAAAAA
Molecule: long non-coding RNA, 622 nt
Organism: Syngnathus acus (greater pipefish)
Lineage: Eukaryota; Metazoa; Chordata; Actinopteri; Syngnathiformes; Syngnathidae
Exons: 3
Source: RefSeq, a predicted model, not a curated record